CGCAGUAUUAUUCCAGUGAAUGU
RNAcentral lists this microRNA (23 nucleotides) under Plutella xylostella (diamondback moth). Its description in RNAcentral is "pxy-miR-308". Its record names the gene pxy-miR-308. Lineage: Eukaryota; Metazoa; Arthropoda; Insecta; Lepidoptera; Plutellidae. The record is from miRBase by way of RNAcentral.